UACGUAGGGAGCAAGCGUUGUCCGGAAUCAUUGGGCGUAAAGCGCGCGUAGGCGGCCUCAUAAGUCCGUUGUGAAAGUCAAAGGCUCAACCUUUGAAAGCCGAUGGAUACUGUGAGGCUAGAGUCCGGAAGAGGCGAGUGGAAUUCCUGGUGUAGCGGUGGAAUGCGCAGAUAUCAGGAGGAACACCGAUAGCGAAGGCAGCUCGCUGGGACGGUACUGACGCUAAGGCGCGAAAGCGUGGGGAGCGAACAGG
This 253-nucleotide ribosomal RNA is filed under the name uncultured bacterium. RNAcentral's name for it is "partial 16S ribosomal RNA". It matches the Rfam family "Bacterial small subunit ribosomal RNA", at positions 524 to 776 of the family's 1533-position model. The record is from RNAcentral.